UUCUGUCUUUGGCAGCUCCCGGCGAUCCUCCCCGACAACGGCGGCGACGAAAGCGAGCGGAAAGGGGGCGCGAGACUAAUGGUUCCGGAUGACAUUCGGUGUCCGAUUGAAUCGCAUUGGCGUUUGGGAGGAAGGUGAAUUGACAAGUAUAGGGAUUUUCUCAGAAGUCGGAGCAUCAUUCUCAUGAAAUUGAUCCUGAUUUUGCUUGUCAAAGGCACUCCUAGGCGCAAGGCGCCCUAUGCGACUUUUCAUGGCUGAGCCGCAGUACCAUUCAAAAGAUGCUGCGAAGGUUCAUGAGGCACACACCUCCUGUGGAUGCACAAGGCGCACGCAUCAUGUGCCUUAUUUGCAGCUGUAUUAAACCCUCCAAAUGCUAAGAGGACAAACUCUUAAACUGAGGGGGGGGAAAAAAAAAAGCAAAAGAAAACAACUCUGAAGCUCUUCAACUGUUCAACCGAGUGCAUAUUUAGGGUAGAUUGGUGCUGGGCAGACCUGUUGGUGGAAGCUGGAGGGCUGGAGCUGUCCUGCGCUAGCGACUAUACGCAUGUGGGGAUCACACUCCAAUGAACAGGCCACUCAUGAUGAGUGUGAACCUCAGCGAUGGCCACCUGUUUUCAUCAUCAGGGUCGCCGGGGGCAGGCGAAGUGGUGAACAACCUCCAGCGACCUGUUUCUGGGGACUCUUAACGCAACGACCUGUUUUUUUCUGUUUCUGUUUAUUCGCUGCUACAUUCCCCUUUUAUUUUUCCUCUGAAUACUGAUGCCUGCAGCCUGUUUAUUUUGCUGUAAAUAAGAAUUUCAGAAAAUCACAAAAGCAUCUAUAACUAUCUAAUAGGGCAUACCCCAAGCAUUACAACGAAAAUAAACUUCAUAGAGAUAAAACUAGCAAAAGAAAAAGCUUUUUUUGGACAAAACAAAAACAAACUAUAUAGAAUAAUAUACAAGAGUCGGCGGAAGCCUUCUAUAUAAUAGCUCCAUAAAACGCAAACUGUCAAAAGGCAUCAUCAUCAAACCUCCCUAAGCCUAGGAACAAGAAUCGGGGCAAAUUUUGGGAGGCCACAAAUAAAAUCAGAAUCUGUCAAUACCUUAAUGUCCCUAAGUAUUAGAAUGGUAUAUUCACGUGAAUGUCAAUAUUGGUGAUGAAGACAUACGGGUACUCCCCAAACACUGAUUUAGGGUGUCAAAAGCAUACUUUUGACUUAAUCCCCUGUUUGAUGUGAAAGUUAACAUUUGUGCAAGCUCACAUUUAUUUGGUGUUUUCUUCUUAAUAACAUAUAAGUGGUCAGAUAUCUUUUUAUUUUUAACUAAUUAUAUUACUUUUAAUGUUAUUUCUUCUUUUAUGGUGAAACUUCUUUUUUAUGUACUUUUAAAUUAUGUUUUUCUUUCAUUUGUCUAAAUAAAUUUGUUUUAAUGUGUUUUAUGCUAUUUUGAAACUAAUUUUCUAUUUAUUCUUCAGAAAGUUAUUAUUCUAUACAUAUUUUUAAUAUAUAUAUAUAUAUAUAUAUAUUCCUUGUGCCUCCCGCCCAGGCCUCAAAACACUUUGCAACUUUGACAACUAUACUUGGUGGUUGGUUGAAACUUGAAAGUUGGCCAAGUCUUUCUUGGUUGCUGCUCAAGUGGCUUGGUGUCUUGAGGUUUAUGGCUGGUUACUGAGCUUCAUAUGGAGCAGGUAGUUCUGUUUGGGGCUUUUUUUCUUGGUGUUUCUGUUAUGGGGUUAGUUUUGGGAUAACCUGUUUUGUUGCUGCCCUUUUUGAUUGAUUGCAAUUGUGGGUUUGCUUGCUGGUUGUGUUGUUUUGUUGAGAUGUCUAAGUGCUCUGUUUUGUGCUGAUUUCCGGAUAUGUUUUGCCUGUCUUAUGUGCUAAUCUGUAGCUGAUUUUUGGUUUCAAGUUUUCCAGUAUUGGGUUUCUGCUAUCCAAUUUGGGCUUGUUGGAUAAUCUAUGGAGAACUAUGGGUUUUUCAAUGAUAUAGAUGGUUUGUAUACCCGAGGCAUUUGUUGGUUUCUUCCUGUUAUUGAUGUUUUGCCCAAGUUUGGCUGUGCAUCUGGGAUAGGAUCUUUGGAAUUGGUGGGCUGGUGUUUCCAUCUAUACCCAAGAUGAUUGGCUUGAUUAUGGAUGCUUUUAUUCAGUUGCUUCUACUUUUGGAGAUGUCUGCUUUGUUGGCUGUUAUGUGAUUCCCUGCAUACUCAGCGAAUACAUGUCUUGGGGGUGCAAUCGAGGGGGCUUGGAUAGCUCUCUCUCUCUCUAUCUCUGAUAAGUCUGUGUUUUCAAUUUCAGGGCUUGGAGAAUUUCUUUUUUAAUUAUUUAUUUUUCAUUUACCUUUUUUAAUAUAUCAUUUAUUUUUUCAAUUUGAACAUAAGAUGGACACAAGUAAACCGAAUUUUCAGCUCUAAUUGAAUUAAGUGUAUUUUGAUUCACUUAUUCAAGUUGUUGUGUCCAAAAAAGUAUGUCCAUGCCCGAGAAUUAGCUCAAGCCUAAAGAAAGAAGCCCAAAAGCCUAUCUAGAAAAAAAUAUAGAGAGAGAGAAAUAACCCAUAGGUGCAUGAAGUCACCCGCAAGACUAAGGCUGAGGGGCUUGCUAGAGAAUUGACUGAGAGGCUUGCGGGAGACUUAGACGAGAGGCUUGCAAGAGACUUGACCCUCAACCCGAAUGACUAAGAUCGAGACCAAGUGAUCUCACCUAAAAGCCUCUCUCGAUGUCUUCAAAAGACCCUCUCAAGAAUUCAUGAGUCACUCAGCAAUUGCUAUUUGGAAGACUUUCGUGGGCCGGCUAUUCCAAUAUCCUUGUUUACAAAUUCGGAAGAGAGCCGAAAUAUCUGUCAAAGAUUGUGGGUCUCUCUUCACCUGUCUUCUCCUCUCUAUAAACAUGAGACUCAUCCUCUAGUAAAGGUCUCUCAAAAAUUACACCUGAGACACUCUCUCGCACAAAAAAAUUUAUUAUUGUAUCUUGUCAACAAUACAGUCUUUUGUCAUAUUUCCAAUUUUGUUUGUUUUUACUUAUCUGGAGAACAUCCAUCCAUUAUACACUACUAAAGCAAAGCUGAUUGUUGCUGUAAUUUCAUCGAUAUUACUUGCCUGUGAUCUGUAUAACUUAUUGGGUCUUUUUUUUUUUUUUGUGAGAACUUAUUGGACUGUGAAUAAUAAUUAUUCACGGGAUAGUUUGAGCAACUUGGCUUAUUUCUCUGUGCACAAAAUCUCCCCUUCUGUUUGCUUUCUGUUUGAUGGUUAGGUUCUGUCACUUCUGUAUUCUUACUCAACUCCACAGUCUUGUGGGAUGGGAGGAAAUUGUGAGCUUAUGGCCCUGUUUUGUCAUUGUAUUGAUCGUUCUUAGUACAUUUUUGGAAUAAAUUGAGCUUAUGAUCUGUUUGAUACAGUGUGAAUUAGAAAUCCCUCUCUCUUUUAGUUGCUUUUUUGUGAUUAUUUAUGGAGCCCAGGCCGGCUCUACCUUGAAGCCAUUUAUGCACAUUAGGCCCCCUAAAUUAGAAG
Long non-coding RNA from Diospyros lotus (date-plum), 3480 nucleotides. RefSeq lists it as uncharacterized. NCBI's taxonomy places the organism in Eukaryota, Viridiplantae, Streptophyta, Magnoliopsida, Ericales, Ebenaceae. The record is from RefSeq and is a predicted model, not a curated record. The transcript is spliced from 3 exons.